This is a long non-coding RNA of Solea solea (common sole), 2446 nucleotides long. RefSeq lists it as uncharacterized. Lineage: Eukaryota; Metazoa; Chordata; Actinopteri; Pleuronectiformes; Soleidae. The record is from RefSeq and is a predicted model, not a curated record. The transcript has 2 exons.
GUACACACCGACAGGAAACCGUUUGAUAACAAGUUGUUGGUUUUCCGGAGGAAGUCGAACAGAAAUUUCCUAUUUUACCCUCGAAGAAAAAAAAAACUACUUCCACAUCCGGUUAAAGUGUUUUCUUGAGCCGCAGCGGAGUCGCUGCUCUGCCCGGCUGCUGUCGCCACUCCUGCCGCUGAAUCUGUCCCUGUUCACUGACUCAGCUUCACCCGAAAAACACCGAUUCCGUCACUUUAUGUCUCCCUUACGUCACCGAGACUCUGUCACGUGCUCACCUGCGGGAAACGAGCGUAAAACUGCGAAUUUCUGUGUUUUUCCUGUUACAAAGAUGGCGGCUCCGCGACACCGGAGGUGGAAGCCAGAGUGCGCGUUAACCUCCCAGUGGGCAGGGCCUGAGAGCGCGCGCACACAAACUGACCAGAGUUCUGUUCAAACUGCUGAGUGACGCUGCGGUUUUGUUUUCAAACUCAUUUAAAUUACUUAAAAAAAAAAUAAUCACGUUUUCGUAAUGAUAUUCUCAUGUUUGACUUAAUGUUUUUAUAUAUAAAUAAUAAUAAUAAGAAUAAUGUUGAAGUGUUACUUUCUUGCCUGCUGACACGCUCACAGACACCAGAAGGGGGCACUGUUCAUUACCACAUGUAGUCACUUCAGAGGUCAAAGUGUUUUCUGAUGAAUAAAUGUUUUAUUGUUGUUGACAAACAGCAGCAUGAGACACACACGUGAAAAUAAAUGUCUACUUUUCUAAUAAUAAAUAAAUCAUUUGACAUGACACAUUAUAAACAUUUUUCUAAAUAACUUAAUCAUUUGAUCAUAAAUAAAUACAUUCAUAAAAUAUGUGAGUGAUGAGUUACACAUCCAUUAUUUCUCAUUUAAAGUUUAGUUUCAGCUGAAAUGAUGUGGGUUUUAUAAUAAUGAGUGUGUCUGGUGUUAAAUCUGACCCAGGACCAGUCUCUGUACCUGUGGAGGGCUUUUAUUUUAAUUUUAUGAUGUUUGGUAAAAUGUCUCCAGAGAAAAGCAGCAGAGCCUGCUCCGGGAUCAGGGGUCAGGUCUCAGAGCAGCAGGUUGAGGUCGGCCAGCAGAGUGUCUACAUCCGCGAUGGGAGCUCUCCAGUAGUUGAAGGAGGAAAACUGCAGCAGCGCAGUCUGAAGAAGAACAACACAUGUGGUUAUACUUCAGAGAACAGCAACUGCUCCUCUGCUGCCUCGUGUGAUCACCUUGUGUCACUGAGGUCGUUCUGAAUGUUGGAUUACAAACAGUGAAGUGACAAAAGAAGACAUUUGAACUCAGUGAUGGAGGCUGCAGUGGAUCAACAACUCCUGAAAAUCACUGCUGUGAGCUUUGGUGUGGGAGAGUGAGUCUGUGUGUGUUGUUUACAAAAGUCUGUCUCACAGUGAGGUAAAGACGUGAUCACGUGACGUAGAGAACUGAACCGACGUAGAUUUGAUUACAUACGUUUUUAGUGAAAGUGACUAAAUCUGUCGUGUUUCCACUGAUAUAUCACGCUAAUGUUUAAGACUGUCAUACACUGACCCUCACCCUGAAAAACAUGCAAACACAGCCAGUCACAGCUCCACCGACUGGCAGGAGGACAAAGUGUUUGAAGGAAACUGUUCAGUUCAGGCCACACUGUGGUGUAGUGGAUAGCACACUUGUCUUUGCAGCAAGAAGACCCGGGUUCCAGCCCCGUUCUGCAUGGAGGUCACAUGUUCUCCUCGUGUGUGCAUGGGUUUUCUCCGGGUUCCUCCCACAGUCCAAAAACAAGCAAUAUGGGGAUUAGGUCAGCUGGUCACUCUAAACUGACCACAGUUGUGAAUGUGUCUCUGUGUUUAUGUGGCUCUGUGAUGGACACUCCAGGGUGUGACCCCACCUAUCAGGGUGUGACCCUAUGUCAGCUGAGAUUGGCACAGCCCCCUGCGACGCUACUGUGGAGGAUAAAGUGGUAGAUGAUGGAUGAAGAGCUCCAGUCCUCGUCUCUAAUCAUGACAUUGACAAUAAUCAGUUUUGUCGGCCUGAAUUCCUCCAUGUUUGUUUGUUUUCUUCUGCUGAGAAAAUAUAGCAGGUGGCCAAGAGGAAAGGAAAUGGGCUUGUAACCAAAGGGUUGCAGGUUAAAAUCCCAGGAUGGGUCAAGUGCUAGGGUGUCCCUGAGCACAUAAUCCCCAUGGCUGUGUGUGUGUGUAAUGAUGAUACUGACUGACUUCUCAUGUUUUCAGUUUGAGUGGGAGGUAAACAGUGGAGUGGAGAGUCUGACUCUGAUCCCGCUGAACGUAAACAGUCACAUGAUCUGAGUGAGUGGCAUGUUUUAAUCUAACAUGUCUCACAUGUUUCUCGCGUAAACUGGUGCGUCUGUCAAUACUGUCCCUCUGUCUGUGGCUCUGAGCUCAUUGGUUCUUAUCGAUCACAUGACCUUGGUUUUAUUAGAUUAAAAACAGAAACUAACAAACUC